AAUAUAUGAUACUAAAACGUUUGUUUUUACCGUGAAAUGUGUAUUUUUUGAUUAUUCACAAGCACUGUUCAUCUUGGUGACAAACUGCUUGCUGAAAGGGACCUGGCUAUUAAAGCUUGAUUCAGGAGUGACUGAGGAAUUGUUGGAGAGAGAAAUUCCAACUGGGAUACAAGAUGGAGAUCUAAUCCAAAGACGAACCAUUGAACUGUGCCUCACGUUGGAGCGAGACGCACACGAGACUUCCGUUUGACAUCCUUCAAUCUGGUGUUACAAUGUGAACAAUGGAUCAACUUGUGCUGACGUCCAAGAGACCAGUUUAACGCCAGUACAAUGGAUCAACUUGUGCUGACGUCCAAGAGACCAGUUUAACGCCAGUAAGGUGAAGCCAUUCAGUUUCAUCUGCAGUAAACAUUCUGUUGGGGGCCGUGGUCCUACAGAGGACGCAGAGGUAAGCCAUUUUCAUAUUUCGACUUAUUUUUUAGCGUGGCAUAUUGCCGUGCUGCUUCUGUCUGACAAUGAAUGACCGUAAAAAAAUUAAAAUUGUAUCUGACUGCCACUGUUGUUACCUUUUCUGUUGUAAAAAAAACAAUUUAAGUAAGGGAGAAGUGUAAAUGAAUAAUGGAAUUAAGGUUUGUUUUUAAUGAAAAAUUAAAAGUGUUUGUUGGCUGUCAAUGAGUAGCAUUUGCGAUCACUUCAAAAAAUAGCAAUGUAAAUUACCCCCAAGAA
Long non-coding RNA from Corythoichthys intestinalis (scribbled pipefish), 726 nucleotides. RefSeq lists it as uncharacterized. Lineage: Eukaryota; Metazoa; Chordata; Actinopteri; Syngnathiformes; Syngnathidae. The record is from RefSeq and is a predicted model, not a curated record. The transcript has 3 exons.